UGGGGAAUUUUGGACAAUGGGCGCAAGCCUGAUCCAGCAAUGCCGCGUGCAGGAUGAAGGCCUUCGGGUUGUAAACUGCUUUUGUACGGAACGAAACGGCUCUGUCUAAUACAUGGGGCUAAUGACGGUACCGUAAGAAUAAGCACCGGCUAACUACGUGCCAGCAGCCGCGGUAAUACGUAGGGUGCGAGCGUUAAUCGGAAUUACUGGGCGUAAAGCGUGCGCAGGCGGUUAUAUAAGACAGAUGUGAAAUCCCCGGGCUCAACCUGGGACCUGCAUUUGUGACUGUAUAGCUAGAGUACGGUAGAGGGGGAUGGAAUUCCGCGUGUAGCGGUGAAAUGCGUAGAUAUAGGAAGGAACACCAGUGGCGAAGGCAAUCCCCUGGACCUGUACUGACGCUCAUGCACGAAAGCGAGGGGAGCAAACA
This 427-nucleotide ribosomal RNA is filed under the name uncultured bacterium. RNAcentral's name for it is "bacterial SSU rRNA". It matches the Rfam family "Bacterial small subunit ribosomal RNA", at positions 355 to 774 of the family's 1533-position model. The record is from RNAcentral.